AGGUAAGCUACUAAGAGCGAAUGGUGGAUGCCUUGACUGGUAAAGGCGAUGAAGGACGUACUAGACUGCGAUAAGCUACGGGGAGCUGUCAAGAAGCUUUGAUCCGUAGAUUUCCGAAUGGGGCAACCCAAUGUAUAGAGAUAUACAUUACCUAUAUAGGAGCGAACGAGGGGAAUUGAAACAUCUUAGUACCCUCAGGAAAAGAAAUCAAUAGAGAUUGCGUCAGUAGCGGCGAGCGAAAGCGCAAGAGGGCAAACCCAGUGCUUGCACUGGGGGUUGUAGGACUGCAAUGUGCAAGAGCUGAGUUUAGCAGAACAUUCUGGAAAGUAUAGCCAUAGAGGGUGAUAGUCCCGUAUGCGAAAAACAAAGCUUAGCUAGCAGUAUCCUGAGUAGGGCGGGACACGAGGAAUCCUGUCUGAAUCCGGGUCGACCACGAUCCAACCCUAAAUACUAAUACCAGAUCGAUAGUGCACAAGUACCGUGAGGGAAAGGUGAAAAGAACUGAGGUGAUCAGAGUGAAAUAGAACCUGAAACCAUUUGCUUACAAUCAUUCAGAGCCCUAUGUAGCAAUACAGGGUGAUGGACUGCCUUUUGCAUAAUGAGCCUGCGAGUUGUGGUGUCUGGCAAGGUUAAGCAAACGCGAAGCCGUAGCGAAAGCGAGUCUGAAUAGGGCGCUUAGUCAGAUGCUGCAGACCCGAAACGAAGUGAUCUAUCCAUGAGCAAGUUGAAGCUAGUGUAAGAAUUAGUGGAGGACUGAACCCAUAGGCGUUGAAAAGCCCCGGGAUGACUUGUGGAUAGGGGUGAAAGGCCAAUCAAACUUCGUGAUAGCUGGUUCUCUCCGAAAUAUAUUUAGGUAUAGCGUUGUGUCGUAAUAUAAGGGGGUAGAGCACUGAAUGGGCUAGGGCAUACACCAAUGUACCAAACCCUAUCAAACUCCGAAUACCUUAUAUGUAAUCACAGCAGUCAGGCGGCGAGUGAUAAAAUCCGUCGUCAAGAGGGAAACAACCCAGACUACCAGCUAAGGUCCCUAAAUCUUACUUAAGUGGAAAACGAUGUGAAGUUACUUAAACAACCAGGAGGUUGGCUUAGAAGCAGCCAUCCUUUAAAGAAAGCGUAAUAGCUCACUGGUCUAGUGAUUUUGCGCGGAAAAUAUAACGGGGCUAAAGUAAGUACCGAAGCUGUAGACUUAGUUUACUAAGUGGUAGGAGAGCGUUCUAUUUGCGUCGAAGGUAUACCGGUAAGGAGUGCUGGAGCGAAUAGAAGUGAGCAUGCAGGCAUGAGUAGCGAUAAUUAAUGUGAGAAUCAUUAACGCCGUAAACCCAAGGUUUCCUACGCGAUGCUCGUCAUCGUAGGGUUAGUCGGGUCCUAAGUCGAGUCCGAAAGGGGUAGACGAUGGCAAAUUGGUUAAUAUUCCAAUACCAACAUUAGUGUGCGAUGGAAGGACGCUUAGGGCUAAGGGGGCUAGCGGAUGGAAGUGCU
RNAcentral lists this ribosomal RNA (1479 nucleotides) under Campylobacter jejuni. RNAcentral describes it as "partial 23S ribosomal RNA". It matches the Rfam family "Bacterial large subunit ribosomal RNA", at positions 1 to 1508 of the family's 2925-position model. Lineage: Bacteria; Pseudomonadati; Campylobacterota; Epsilonproteobacteria; Campylobacterales; Campylobacteraceae. The record is from RNAcentral.